This 210-nucleotide long non-coding RNA is filed under the name Theobroma cacao (cacao). Its description in RNAcentral is "long non-coding RNA (TCAC_LNC000230)". Lineage: Eukaryota; Viridiplantae; Streptophyta; Magnoliopsida; Malvales; Malvaceae. The record is from RNAcentral.
CCUUGUUAAAAAAUCCUAAAAUUCCUACAAAAGACAGAACCCUAGUUUCUACCAACAGUCGAAAACCACAAUAAAAAAAACCAAAAAUAGCAAAAAACCAACAAAAGAAAAAUACAUAAAAAUAGGACUGGAAGUAAGGCAUAGGGGAGUUUUCUUUUUGUAUUUUAGCGGAAGUUAGGGAUUUUUGGGGUUUGGGGGAUUUUCUUUUCC